CCCCAAUUGAAUUACGUUUAUUUACCUGGCUUCAGUGCGUAACUGUACUUGAAACUUGAGUCGCGACUUGAACAUGAAAUACUUGAUCGAGUCCGGGGUUCCCAUCAACUUUAAAUGGCAAAACUGUUUGGUCCAGUCAGAAGUCAGAUGCAGGAAGGCGUUUCACUCAUUAGGAGUCAUGGAAAAUCGUAAAACGCUUUUGCGGCCAGCAGUCGGCAAUCAGUCGGCGUGUUGCAAUACCAAUAGAUGAACAAACGACCUCAGACAUGCCAAAUACAUAUGUAUGUAUGUGCAUAUGUACUAUGAACAUGGGCGGAACUCGUAUAGGGGAAUGUUUUUUCCUUUGCAGAACCCCCGCCAAGUUGCAGUCCACACCCGUGGAUCAGCACGAGCCACCAGCAACGUUCCAAUGACUGGGCACACACGUCCAAGACGGAGACUUUGUCGAAGAAGCAGUCGGUCGAAAUCGGAGUCCGACUAGCCUGGAUGAUAGUCUCGUCAUUAAGUGAGAGUGUCGGCCAGCGACAGUGUGAAUGUGAAUGUGAGUGUGGAUUGGCA
This 558-nucleotide long non-coding RNA is filed under the name Drosophila guanche. The record is from RNAcentral. Lineage: Eukaryota; Metazoa; Arthropoda; Insecta; Diptera; Drosophilidae.